UGACGUCCGUCAGUUAUUGUGUUUUGUCCUGAGGCGGAGCAGAAGGGGCGGGACCAGGAUUCGCCAGGCCCAGCGCGUCCUCGGGAUAUAAGCAGUCUGCUUCAGCGCAUGGGGGGGAGAGGACAGGAGCUGAAUCUGGCUUGGGGCUGAACCGGCUUCUCCACCCAGCUUGAUUCUACAGAGGGCUUAUCCGUGGAGCAAUGACACCGACCACACGGGGGGAGGGGCACCCGCUUGUCGAUGCUGGUCCUGUUUAUUUGCUUGGAUUGUACAAUAAAGACUGUACUCUUUUAUUGGGGGCCGUGCCUCUCUGGCUUUUUGUCGCGGCUCACGAGCCGGGUCGUAACAAAAUGGGGGCUCGUCGUUAGUUGAACCUGGUUGCGUCUGUGGCGUUUCGUUUUUUUUUUUUUUUUUUCUCUCUGUAAUCAGUGGGUGAGUGUUCAUCGUGUACACCUAUUUGCAGCUUUGGUCCCUUGAUAGGCGAUAGAGGUGUGGCUCCUUUGGGCUUCAUCUGGUCGUUGUCUUUGUAGUGUCGCUUCUAGGUGGUUAGUGUUAACUGUUUACAGUUAUCUCGGGAGCACGUCCGUGGGAUUCUAGGCAGGGAAUCUGUAUAGAUUUCCUUUCUGGCCCGCUGGUUUAAGGUGCGUAACAACCCGCCGCCGAAAAGCGUGAAGACUAGGGAUCAGCUGUUAGGUCAGUUUUUG
Molecule: long non-coding RNA, 704 nt
Organism: Xiphophorus hellerii (green swordtail)
Lineage: Eukaryota; Metazoa; Chordata; Actinopteri; Cyprinodontiformes; Poeciliidae
Exons: 2
Source: RefSeq, a predicted model, not a curated record